Molecule: long non-coding RNA, 337 nt
Filed under: Elaeis guineensis (African oil palm)
Lineage: Eukaryota; Viridiplantae; Streptophyta; Magnoliopsida; Arecales; Arecaceae
Description: long non-coding RNA (EGUI_LNC052717)
Source: RNAcentral
GGGGCCCUUAUUCUGCUUCAGAAUUCUAGCGGUAUCCGCCCUUUCUUUGAGUGCCCUGUCUCUCUUGGCGUCUCCUUGGGACAUAGGCGCCCUUCGAGUCGUCCCUGUCCUCGCCCCUCUGCAUCUCUCAGAGCGAUCUAGGUUAGUCCCAAAACCUCCGCCCUCUUUUCGCCAUCUAGGAGCCUUUUUUUUAUCAUUUUCUUCUGUCGUAUUCCUCCGAGUUAGUCUACUGUGACCUCUUGUCCUUUGCCCCGUCUGUCUCCUUCGGGAUCUUUAGAGUCUUCAUUAGAAGUCAUUUGAAAUGUCUUUUGGCUCUUCCGCUUCCAGCGGCUCCGGG